ACACCUCAACUCUCAUGGUUUGCCAUGAUGAGCUUGGACUUUGGGGGUUUUGCUGGCCUGCGGUCAGCUCCUCUCAAACGGAUCAGCUUACCAGUAUUUGGUGGCGUCACGGGUGUGAUAAUUAUCUACACUUGUGGUUGUCUGCUGAGUAACCUUUGGCGACAGGGGUUUGCUGGAGCUUAUAAAUGUCUCUCCCCAGCGAAGACAGCUUUUUGACC
Molecule: unclassified non-coding RNA, 218 nt
Filed under: uncultured Tomentella
Lineage: Eukaryota; Fungi; Basidiomycota; Agaricomycetes; Thelephorales; Thelephoraceae
Also listed under: 1 other name
Description: sequence contains ITS2
Source: RNAcentral